UACAGAGGAUGCAAGCGUUAUCCGGAAUGAUUGGGCGUAAAGGGCGCGUAGGUGGCUCGUGAAGCGUGCGGUGAAAGUCCGAGGCUCAACCUCGGAUCGGCCGUGCGGACUCGCGGGCUCGAGCGUUGUAGAGGCGGGUGGAAUUCCGGGUGGAGCGGUGAAAUGCGUAGAGAUCCGGAGGAACACCGACGGCGUAAGCAGCGCCCUGGACGAGACCUGACGCUCGGGCACGAAAGCUGGGGGAGCAAACAGG
This 253-nucleotide ribosomal RNA is filed under the name uncultured bacterium. RNAcentral's name for it is "partial 16S ribosomal RNA". It matches the Rfam family "Bacterial small subunit ribosomal RNA", at positions 524 to 776 of the family's 1533-position model. The record is from RNAcentral.